UAAACAUUGACAGUACAUCACACCCACUGUCCGCCCGGGAAUUACGAGCACCAGCUUAAAACCCAAAGGACUUGGCGGUGCUUUAGACCCACCUAGAGGAGCCUGUCCUAGAACUGAUAAUCCCCGUUAAACCUCACCCUUCCUUGCUUUUUCCGCUUAUAUACCACCGUCGCCAGCUUACCCUUUGAGGGACUAAUAGUAAGCAAAAUCGGUACAACCCAGAACGUCAGGUCGAGGUGUAGCGUAUGGAAGGGGAAGAGAUGGGCUACAUUCACUAGUCCAGUGAAUACGAAUGAUCACUCUGAAACGAGUAUCUGAAGGAGGAUUUAGCAGUAAGCAGAAAGCAGAGUGUUUUGCUGAAGCCGGC
RNAcentral lists this ribosomal RNA (367 nucleotides) under Coradion chrysozonus (goldengirdled coralfish). RNAcentral describes it as "partial 12S ribosomal RNA". It matches the Rfam family "Bacterial small subunit ribosomal RNA", at positions 803 to 1372 of the family's 1533-position model. The record is from RNAcentral. Lineage: Eukaryota; Metazoa; Chordata; Actinopteri; Chaetodontiformes; Chaetodontidae.